CGCCUCCCGGAUUCAAGUGAUUCUCCUGCCUCAGCCUCCUGAGUAGCUGGGAUUACAAGCACAUGCCACCAUGCCUGGCUACUUUUUGUAUUUUUAAUAGAGAUGGGGUUUCACCACAUUGGCCAGGCUGGUCUUGAACUCCUGACCUCAGGUGAUACACCCGCCUCAGCCUCCCAAAGGGCUGGGAUUACAGACAUGAGCCACUGUGCCUGGCUACACACAUAUCUUUAUGUGUCUUGCCUUAUCAAAUGUUCCUGACGUUGCCAAGUGCUUCUUAUUACAUUUGUACACAUCAAAUUUGAAAAAGAGGGAGAGAUUUAUCCUAGGUUACAUCUUGAGAAAGUGACAAAAGUAUAACUGAAGUCCAAUUCUUCUGAAUCUAAAUUAUAUGCAUUUUGUAACAGACCAAUGCUAAAUUAAUUUAAAAUGGUAGAAUGUCAUGAUGAACAUUUUAUUUUUGCAACUUUCCUUGCAAUGUCACCCUAUUUUCUGAUUCUUUUAAAUAUUUGCCUGCAUGGGCGUAUUUACUCAUUGCCACCUGGUGACAUAAUUAUGAAAUAUUAUGGGAAAAAGGAAAAACAGGGAAAGUGAGAAAACACUUGUUAGUCAUUCAGAACAGCAAUUUUGGUUCAGAAGUUUGAGGUUUAAUCACCGAGAAGUGGCACAGAAAUAAAGCUGGUUUCUUUGGGUUCCAUCAGGCGAUGUGAAAUAUCGUGAAACGAGGUGGUAUCAUGGAGUUCCAUCCAGGGAAAAUGUAGAAUGGCACAGCUUCACUACAUUUUUCUGAGAAAAACAGAGGCACAGACAGUGUAUCUCAUAAAAAAGGGCAAAUCCUGGAGUGCGUACGACAUCCUUAAACAAGAUUACAUGAAAAAAUGAUGGAUGUGAAUGUGUUUAGCACAAUGUCAGCUUCAUAUUAGAUUUUUAAAUAAUGUUGGCUUAAUUUGAAGUUGUAUCUCUUUUCUGGAACUACUUAAUAUCUUGUGGUUUUUGAUUUCUUUCCUUCCUUCCUUUCUUUCUUUCCUUUUCCCCCUCUCUUUCUUCCUUCCUUCCUUCCUUCCUUUCUUUCUUUUUCUUUCUUUCUUUCUUUCUCUUUGUUUAUUUCUUUCUCUCUCUUUCUCUUUUUCUCUCCUCUCUUUCUUUCUUUCUUUCUUUCUCUUUCUCUCCUUCUCUCUUUCUUUCUCUUUCUUUCUCUUUUUCUCUCCUUCUCUCUCUUUCUCUCUUUCCUUCCUUUCUUCUUUCUUUCCUUCUCCUUCCUUCCUUCUUUCUUUCUUUCUUUCUUUCUUUCUUUCUUUCUUUCUUUCUUUCUUUCUUUCUUUCUUUCUUUCUUUUCUUUCUUUCUUUCUCUUUUUCUCUCCUUCUCUCUUUCUCUCCUUCCUUCCUUCCUUCCUUCCUUCCUUCCUUCCUUCCUUCCUUCCUUCCUUCCUUCCUUCCUUCCUUCCUUCCUUUCUCUCUCUCUCUCUUUCUUUCUUUCUUUUGACAGAGCCUUGCUGUAUUGUCUAGAUUGGAGUGCAAUGGCACGAUCUCUGCUCACUGCAACCUCCGCCUCCCAGGUUCAAGCAAUUCUCCUGCCUCAGCCUCCCAAUGCUCCUGCGCCACUCUGA
Molecule: long non-coding RNA, 1604 nt
Organism: Papio anubis (olive baboon)
Lineage: Eukaryota; Metazoa; Chordata; Mammalia; Primates; Cercopithecidae
Source: Ensembl